Molecule: long non-coding RNA, 297 nt
Filed under: Panax ginseng (ginseng)
Lineage: Eukaryota; Viridiplantae; Streptophyta; Magnoliopsida; Apiales; Araliaceae
Description: long non-coding RNA (PGIN_LNC019064)
Source: RNAcentral
CUAAAAAGCCCAGCAGCCAGAGACCCGUCUCUACAACAUCGAGCAGACAUACCAAUUCCGGAGCAGAACUACCAGGAAGACCAGCCAAGCAACAAAUAGCAGCCCAGACAUCUCAUGGACGCCCACCUGCACUACACCUCAUGGACGCCACUCAAAAAGCUUGUCCUCAUGCAUUACACCAGCUCACAUGCACUACACCACACCAACACCAAACCCACCAUUCAUGAGAAGCUCAACCAGCCCAUCUCACAUGCAUACCAGCUCACCACAAACCAUACCAGCCCACAUACCAGCCCG